This 299-nucleotide signal recognition particle RNA is filed under the name Cebus imitator (Panamanian white-faced capuchin). RNAcentral's name for it is "Metazoan signal recognition particle RNA (ENSCCAG00000004135.1)". It matches the Rfam family "Metazoan signal recognition particle RNA". Rfam says of the family: The signal recognition particle (SRP) is a universally conserved ribonucleoprotein. It is involved in the co-translational targeting of proteins to membranes. The record is from RNAcentral. Lineage: Eukaryota; Metazoa; Chordata; Mammalia; Primates; Cebidae.
GCCAGGCGCAGUGGUGCAUGCCUAUAGUCCCAGCUACUCGGGAGGCUGAGGUGGGAGGAUUGCUUGAGCCCAGGAGUUCUGGGCUGUAGUGCGCUAUGCAGAUCAGGUGUCCGCACUAAGUUCAGCAUCAAUAUAGUGACCUCCUGGGAGUGGGGGACCACCAGGUUGCCUAAGGAGGGAUGAACCGGCCCAGGUCGGAAAUAGAGCAGGUCAAAACUCCCAUGCUGAUCAGUAGUGGGAUCGUGCCUGUGAAUAGCCACUGCACUCCAGCCUGGGCAGCAUAGCAAGACCCCGUCUCU